Molecule: ribosomal RNA, 301 nt
Filed under: uncultured bacterium
Lineage: Bacteria
Description: partial 16S ribosomal RNA
Rfam family: Bacterial small subunit ribosomal RNA
Source: RNAcentral
CAGUAGCCGCGGGAAUACAGAGGGUGCAAGCGUUAAUCGGAAUUACUGGGCGUAAAGCGCGCGUAGGCGGUUACUCAAGUCAGAGGUGAAAGCCCGGGGCUCAACCCCGGAACUGCCUUUGAUACUGUCGAUCUGGAGUAUGGAAGAGGUGAGUGGAAUUCCGAGUGUAGAGGUGAAAUUCGUAGAUAUUCGGAGGAACACCGAUGGCGAAGGCAAUCCCCUGGGCCUGCACUGACGCUCAUGCACGAAAGCGUGGGGAGCAAACAGGAUUAGAUACCCCUGUAGUCCCUGUCUCUUAUAU